AUGGGCCAGUGGGAGGCAGGCCGACUCUCCAGUCUAUACAAAGGAAUGGACCAGGCUGUGUGCCGUGUUCUCCUUGACUCCGCUGGGGUGGCCCAGAAGAGCCUUGUCUUGCUGUUGUGGAUGUCACCUCUGCCAAGUUCUCCUGCUAAGAUGUCACUCCACAUCCUCAGUUGUGACAGCCAAACAUACGGGAGGCUCCGGGGCGCGGGGCAGACUUUCUUCAGCUCUCAUGCACGUGCUAGGGUUGGCAACUUCUGGAGUUCCUACCUGAACUAUUCGGAUGGCUGCCAGAUGGUGAUUUUUCCAGUCACAUCAUUGUAACUUCAUUAUUGGUUAGCUUUUCAUCCUUUGGAAGAGAUGUAUAUUUCCUCAUUUGUUUGCUCACUUAUUUAAUCUGCAUGGAUACUUAGAUUACUCUUUUAUCCAGUGGGCUGUUGUUACCUGUUUACUUCUGUU
This 456-nucleotide long non-coding RNA is filed under the name Ictidomys tridecemlineatus (thirteen-lined ground squirrel). RNAcentral describes it as "lncRNA (ENSSTOG00000032859.1)". Lineage: Eukaryota; Metazoa; Chordata; Mammalia; Rodentia; Sciuridae. The record is from RNAcentral.